UACAUAAAAAAUAAAAUGAUUUUAAGAAAGAACAUGUAACAACACAAAGCAACAGUACAUCGAAGAGGAUUCAAUACUAUGUAUAAAACAACUUUUCAACCAGGAUUCCUAAAAUACAAUAGGAGAGGUCAUGAGACGAGAGGUUCCAGGCUGCAGUCAUAUGUUUAACACAGGAGAGGUCAUGAGACGAGAGGUUCCAGGCUGCAGUCAUGUUUAACACAGGGGAGGUCAUGAGACGAGAGGCUCCAGGCUGCAGUCAUAUGUUUAACACAGGAGAGGUCAUGAGACGAGAGGCUCCAGGCUGCAGUCAUAUGUUUAAUACAGGAGAGGUCAUGAGACGAGAGGCUCCAGGCUGCAGUCAUAUGUUUAACACAGGAGAGGUCAUGAGACGAGAGGCUCCAGGCUGCAGUCAUAUGUUUAA
This is a long non-coding RNA of Epinephelus moara (kelp grouper), 421 nucleotides long. RefSeq lists it as uncharacterized. The transcript has 3 exons. The record is from RefSeq and is a predicted model, not a curated record. NCBI's taxonomy places the organism in Eukaryota, Metazoa, Chordata, Actinopteri, Perciformes, Serranidae.